AGAGUUUGAUCCUGGCCUCAGGAUGAACGCUGGCGGCGCUGCCUAACACAUGCAAGUCGAGCGAUUCUCUUCGGACAAGAGCGGCGGACGGGUGAGUAACGCGUGGGUAACCUGCCCUGUACACACGGAUAACAUACCGAAAGGUAUGCUAAUACGGGAUAAUAUACUUUUGUCGCAUGGCAGAAGUAUCAAAGCUCCGGCGGUACAGGAUGGACCCGCGUCUGAUUAGCUAGUUGGAGAGGUAAUGGCUCACCAAGGCAACGAUCAGUAGCCGACCUGAGAGGGUGAUCGGCCACAUUGGAACUGAGACACGGUCCAAACUCCUACGGGAGGCAGCAGUGGGGAAUAUUGCACAAUGGGCGAAAGCCUGAUGCAGCAACGCCGCGUGAGCGAUGAAGGCCUUCGGGUCGUAAAGCUCUGUCCUCAAGGAAGAUAAUGACGGUACUUGAGGAGGAAGCCCCGGCUAACUACGUGCCAGCAGCCGCGGUAAUACGUAGGGGGCUAGCGUUAUCCGGAAUUACUGGGCGUAAAGGGUGCGUAGGUGGUUUCUUAAGUCAGAGGUGAAAGGCUACGGCUCAACCGUAGUAAGCCUUUGAAACUGAGAAACUUGAGUGCAGGAGAGGAGAGUAGAACUCCUAGUGUAGCGGUGAAAUGCGUAGAUAUUAGGAGGAAUACCAGUUGCGAAGGCGGCUCUCUGGACUGUAACUGACACUGAGGCACGAAAGCGUGGGGAGCAAACAGGAUUAGAUACCCUGGUAGUCCACGCCGUAAACGAUGAGUACUAGGUGUCGGGGGUUACCCCCCUCGGUGCCGCAGCUAACGCAUUAAGUACUCCCCCUGGG
RNAcentral lists this ribosomal RNA (842 nucleotides) under uncultured bacterium. Its description in RNAcentral is "bacterial SSU rRNA". It matches the Rfam family "Bacterial small subunit ribosomal RNA", at positions 8 to 877 of the family's 1533-position model. The record is from RNAcentral.